GUGGAAGAGCCUCCAUAGAGGACCUGCCCCAUUGUGAGCACUCAGCAAGUGAGAGCUGUGAGGACAGCCAUAACAAGAUGGCGGUUUCCACCCUGUGCCCUUGACGUGUGCUUCUGCAUGAUCUGGGUGCUGGGACCCCAGUUCUAGUCAUGACGGAAUCCUUCCAGGCAUCUUGAUCUCUGCCUCUGCUCCUCCUUCUGUGUUCAGCUUUAAGGCUGUGAAGCUCUCCCCAGCACGGGCUCCCCAUUUACAGACCCCAGUGCUAUUCAGGCCUAGUGCAGGACCGUGUUUUCUUGUCACUUGUGCUCAGUCCUUCAUCAUUGCCCGAGCGAGCCCCAGUCCUUGCCCACAGCUCAGGGAGCUGCAUCCAGGUGUCUUCACCUGCACCAUCAGGAUGAAAGGUUACCUGCUGGAACCUGCCUGACAGGUUAGGCAAGGCCCUUCUGUGUGCAGGUAAGUUAGGAAUACUUUCUUAUGUAUCAAUUGUGUGUGCAAAUUUUCAUAUGUAUUUAUUUUUUUCCUUUUUGAGAGAG
Molecule: long non-coding RNA, 533 nt
Organism: Tupaia belangeri chinensis (Chinese tree shrew)
Lineage: Eukaryota; Metazoa; Chordata; Mammalia; Scandentia; Tupaiidae
Exons: 3
Source: RefSeq, a predicted model, not a curated record